CCCCUAGAUGUUCUGGGCCGCACGCGCGCUACACUGAACAGUUCAACAAGUCUUAACCUUGGCCGAUAGGUCUGGGUAAUCUUUGAACGCUGUUCGUGAUUGGGAUAGACCUUUGCAAUUAUGGGUCUUCAACGAGGAAUUCCUAGUAAACGCAAGUCAUCAGCUUGCAUUGAUUACGUCCCUGCCCUUUGUACACACCGCCCGUCGCACCUACCGAUUGAAUGGUCCGGUGAAAUCUUCGGAUUGCUGGAUAGGACUUCAUUGACCUAUCUGCGAGAAGUUGCUUGAACCUUAUCAUUUAGAGGAAGGAGAAGUCGUAACA
RNAcentral lists this ribosomal RNA (322 nucleotides) under uncultured eukaryote. Its description in RNAcentral is "partial 18S ribosomal RNA". It matches the Rfam family "Eukaryotic small subunit ribosomal RNA", at positions 1470 to 1796 of the family's 1831-position model. The record is from RNAcentral.